AAGAAUAGGCUCCAACCUUAAUUCGAAGCCGAACGAGCACCAACUAGUUAAAUAAAGCAAGAACUAGUCAAUAAGUGCUCACAAAAUGGAAUUCCAACUAAUUAAAAGACUUCCCAACCUUUCUCGCAAGUUUUCUAUCCGACCCCCGGCCCACGUGCUCGGAUUCUGAGAUUUUUCAAAGGAAAUUACUCUCUAUAACCUAAGGAUUACUAAUAUGUGAUUUUUAGUUAAUUACAUAACUAAUUAGGUGGUUAAAUCAUAAUUUAUCAAAACCCUAGGUCUUGCUCUAACCAUUGAUUUUUAUUUGAUUACUAGUGUUAAAUCUAUGUAAUGUUCACGUAUUUAAGCUAAGAGUGAGUGGGGAUUACUUACCUUGUGAUGUUAUGAAGAAACUCUCUCUUUGGAACCUCCAAAAUCNNNNNNNNNNNNNNNNNNNNNNNNNNNNNNNNNNNNNNNNNNNNNNNNNNNNNNNNNNNNNNAUUUACUUGACAAAUUUGGAACCUCCAAAAUCGCCCUAAGGUGGAAGAAAUGGGAGAUAAAUGAGCUUGAGUUCGUAUUUAAUGAAUCCUUACUGCCCCAGCGAUAUUCGCAUAUGCGUACAAAUUACCGCAUAGGUGGUGUCCGUUUCUGCGGAAAAACAACCGCUUUUGCUGUUUGGGAGAGUUGACCGGACCGCUUUUGCGGUCUUGAUUUCGCAUAUGCGGGACCGUUUAUGCGGUCCCAGGGCCGCUUCUACGGUCUCUCCCCCUUCUUCACCAUUCCGCUUCUGCGAUCAGGUGGCCACUUAUGCGGUCACCGCUAUUGCGGUCAAAGAGCCACAGAAGCGGUUUUGACAGAAGCAGCAAACUUACUUCUUUCCAAAAUCCGACUUCGCUCAAACCUCGACUAUUUGACGCUCAGAGCUUCCGAUCCCCGCCCGAACAAACCGACAAGUCUGAAAUCACGAGGAAGACCUAGUCGAACUCUCGAAACACCCAACACAAUGAUGGAUCAAAGAAUCGAACCCCAAAAAUUGGUUUAACUUAAUGAACUUCAAGUUCUUUAUUUCCUAUCAACGGGUCAAAACGCCCUUAAACUAUUCGGAUAGACACCAAAUUUUACGGGUAGGUCUUAUAUGAUAUUUCGGACUUGUACCAAGUUUCAGAACUAGAAUCCGAACCCGAUACCUGGAUUUUUAAUUAAUAUUUAGAUUCUUUAAUUCCUUAAAACUUUGUUUUAACAAUUUUACACAAAAACUCCGUUCUUGGGCUGGGGACCUUGGAAUUCGAUUCCGAGCAUACGCCCAGGUCCCAUAUUUUUUUAUGGAUCUUUUGGGACCGUCAAAUCACGAAUCUGGGUUCGUUUCCUAAGAAAGUUGACUGAAGUCAAAUUUGGCCUUUUAAGAAAACCUUUAGAAAAUAAUUGGUUUUAUUUUUACUCAAAACUCUCCUAACUUUCAAACUAAUCGUCCCCACAAAUCGAAAUUUAGCCAAAGAUAACGUGGGGAGUUUUACUUAAGGGGAACGGGGUUCUAAAUAGUAAAACGACCAGUCGGGUCGUUACAUAUGUGGAAAUGACAUUAGGUACCCACUGUUGAGCAUGUUGUUUAAAAUAUAUUCAUAAUUUACAAUGUAUUUAAUGAUUAGCCAAGUUACUCAAAUGGACAUCUGUGUCCUAAAGUUCGAAAAUUGUAUUUAGAAAUUCGAAUCUUAUGUCUUCAAAUUUAAAUUAACAGUUCAAAAAUUCAGGACACUUAGUCUUGAAUUUCAAAUUAGCAGUUCAGAAAUUAAAGACUCUUAGCCUUGAAUUUCAAAUUAGCAGUUUAAAUUAGGACACUAUGUCCCAAAUUUCAAAUUAACAGUUUAAAUAUUUAGGUUGCAAAAUUUUAGGAUAUUUAUAGUAUGUUUGGCCAAGCUAGAAGAAAAAAAAGUAUUUUUGAGUUGAAAUAGAAGAAUUUUUGAGAAGCAAAACAAAAAAACAGCUUAUUCCCAAAAGUGAUUUUUUGAGAAGUAGUUUUGAGAAAAAUACUUUUAGAAGAACUUUUUAAAAGUUUGGUCAAACAAUAAUUGAUAUUUAAAAAUGCUUUCUAAAUUAAUUAGCCAAAUUCAAAUUGCUUCUCACCUUAGGCGGAUUUUUCUAGCUUGGCCAACAGGCUAUUACUCCUGAAAUUUGGACAAAUAGACUAAUAUUUAAAUAUAUUUGUAAAUUAUGAAUAUAUUUUAGAUAGGAAAACUUAAAAUUGGUGAUCGGUGUACUUUGCCCUGUAACUAGUCAUGUAGAUGUUAGGAGUUGAUUUGACCCGAGUGGCUCAACGUGAAGAAGCUAGUCGAAAGCCCAUUUAUGCAAGCCCGAAAAAUUUAUUUCAUUUUAUGUUUAUUUAUUCUGGUAUAAAUGUUAAUAGUGAUGGACAAUUUUCGGGAGUAUUCAAUUAUUUCAUUUUUCCGUUUAAAUUUUAAUGACCUAUGCUAAUCCCUCUCCAUCUUCUCUCUUGCGUUUCCAUUUAGGUUUUGUUUGGUAUAAUCGAAGUAAUUUUUCAGGAAAGUAUUAUUUUUAUGAGAAAAACCUUUUUUUAAAUUUACUUGACAGAAUUAAAAGGGAAAAAUAAUUUCCCUUACAAUUAUCUUCACUUUAAACUUUGUAUAAAUUACUUCAACUAAUACUUCAAAUAUUAUUAUAUAUUUAUCUUUAGUAUCUCAAAAAAAUAUUAAAACACACUCCAAUUAGCUAAUUUUAUCAUUAAUUUUAACAUAUAUUUUAUUCGAAAAACAUUUUUCGUUCACCAAUGAAACGAUGUGGCACUAUAUGGAAGAACUUGUAUAAACCAGGCCGGUUUGUGCUCUGAAUAUUGGAAAACUGCUUUAGAACACUUGAGAAUUGCUAAAGGAAGCUUUUGUAAUAGAGAACUUGAUAGUUUGCUUGGUUGGUGAAUUAUAAAUGAAUGCCCCCUAUUUAUACUAAUCACCUAGGGGCUAGUAUGUAAAUAAUAAUUGUUCUANNNNNNNNNNNNNNNNNNNNNNNNNNNNNNNNCCCCUAUUUAUACUAAUCACCUAGGGGCUAGUAUGUAAAUGAUAAUUGUUCUACAAGCCAUAUUUAUAACUAAGUUCCUUCUCUAGAAUAUUCUACAUAGCUAGAAUCUUUUAAGGACUUUCCUAACAAUUCUAUAGAGUUCUAGAGUCUUCCAAAGGAAACUUCUAUAUUUCUCUAGAAAAUUCCUACAAGUGCAUAAAUAUCUAGAACAUUUCCAAUGAAAUUCUUCAUAAUUCUAGAAUAUUCCAUCAAGAUCAGUCCCAAACUUAAGUAACCAUUCCAUAUGAAAAAAAAUAUGCCAAGUGGCACCUACGUGGUAUGAUGAUGUGGCGGGUCAUGACACUCUCCCCCACCCAAUUUAGUGCCUCACUCGGCACAAAGCAUCGCCACAUAUGCGUGCACCUCGCCUUGUCAUCCCGGAGAUCUUUGUCCAUUAGCCAUGAUACCCUAUGAAGUGGUUCUCUUUCCCAUUUUACAAGGUAUUGUCUACCUUUCUUCUUACGCGUUUGUACUUUGGACGGCUAGCAAUGAUGGCCUCCCAUCGGAUGCCCCUCGUUUCUCUUGGCCUAAAUCUUCCCAUGACUCAACCAAGUCUAGCAACUUCUCAAGCAUCGAGUUCAUGCUUCUACUCCCUAUUUGGCUGCCCUCCGUGGUCCAGCUGUACUGGCAAACUUGAACCCUCUACUUGGUGCAUCGUCUGAGUCUAAUAGCAUGCCAUCACUUUGUAACUCACCAUCCUCUUCAACUAUGUCACCAUUAUAUGCUUGAGCAUAUUUUUCGGUCAUUGCUACAAGCUUCCCAACUCUGGGAAUUUGCUUGCCCCGAUGUGACCCUUUGUAGAAGUAGCACCCUCCUAUAGGCACGUACUCCCUGCCAUUUUCCCGGACCUUUGCCGUUUCUACUGGACCCCUAUCCAUUAAGGAAUGGCCCCUUGCCAUUACCGUUGUAUACCUCGGCUAUGUAUUUCUCGUUGUCCUCGUCAUGAUCUCCCUCAUCCCUCUCGGCGUUGCCUUCUUUGGACUUAGCAGGCUCCAUCUUGAAGUCAACAAGUGACUAGGCUACUCCGAUGGCUCCGUUCACGUUGGCUACUUGAUAUCUUCUUAAUUUCCGCUUUGCCCAAUUUUUCAACCCAUCCAUAAAGUAGAAGAGGAAAUCUUCCUCGGACAGUGACGAGAUUUCCAUCAUUAAGGUUGUGAAGUCGUGCACAUACUCCCAAAUUGUGGCCUCCGUCGGAAAUCCCUUAGCUUCCGCAAGUCUGCCACCUCCCGUGUGCACCACCGUACUGCUUUCGCUUAGGGACCUUCGCGUUGAUCACUUCUGCAAGUACCAAGCCCUUGGUAAUUCCGGCCAUGGCUCCUUACAAAACAUCUCUCUAGCAAUCUCUUGUAUUCUUUCUAACAUUCCUCAGUCAUAACCUUUGCUCUGAUAGCACGUUGUCACAUCUUUAGUUGUUAACUAAGUACACGUGCGGUACUUGACAACCCGCUCAUGAUCUUGCACAACUUGCUCACGUUCUUGCUAUGCCAAGUCAGCCUUACUACACUCAAGAUCGCUAAAAAUUGUUAGAACUCUUGAGAAUUGCUAAAGAAAGGUUUUGUAAUAGAGAACUUGAUAGUUUGCUUAGUUGAUGAAUUACAAAUGAAUGCCCCUAUUUAUACUAAUCACUUAUUGGCUAGUAUGUAAAUAAUAAUUGUUCUACAAGUUCUUUCAUAAUUAUAACUAAGUCCUUUCUCUAGAAUAUUUUACAUAGCUAGAAUCUUUUAUGGACUUUCCUAACAAUUCUACAGGGUUCUAGGAUCUUCCUAAGGAAACCUCUAUAUUUCUCUAGAACCUUCCUACAAGUGCAUAAAUAUCUAGAACAUUUCCAAGGAAAUUCUUCAUAGUUCUAGAAUAUUCCAUCAAGAUCAGUCCCAAACUUACGUAACCAUUCCAUAUGUCAAAAAUAUGUGCCAAGUGGCACCUACGUGGUAUGAUGAUGUGGCGGGUCAUGACAUUAGACAUCGGUUCUCAAUUAAAUUUGAUUCAUUUGGCAGAUAUAUGCGUCAAUAUCUUCAUUUUUUAAGCACCAUACGUCACACCACCUUUUUACACACCUACCCCGAAGGAUAAUAUAUAAGGGAGUUUUUCCAUUUAAAGUGACAUUAUUCAGAUCAAGAUUAUUUAUUCAGAGUCGCCACUUGGGACAAGUUUGGCUUUUGGUGUCCCAAGUCACCAGUUUUAUCUUGAGUCCCGAACCGAGGAAAACUUCGACUUCCGAAUUGGAGUCUGCGAACCAGAAAUUCUGAAUAAGGAAUUCUGUUGACCCGAGGGAAGGUGUUANNNNNNNNNNNNNNNNNNNNNNNNNNNNNNNNNNNNNNNNNNNNCACCGAUUUAGCUUGAAUCCCAAUCCGAGGAAAAUGUUCGACUUCCCAAUUGGAGUCUGCGAACCAGAAAUUCUGAAUAAGGAAUUCUGUUGACCCCAGGGAAGGUGUUAGGCACCCUCGGAUCCCGUGGUUCUAGCAUGGUCGAUUAAAUUGUUAUGAAUGGCUAAAAUCUGAUUUUUAUUACAUGAAGAGCCUAUGUGCCAAUUUUUACUUUUUACCGCUUUUAUUUAACAUAAUAUUUAUUUGAGAAAGUGAACGUCGUUUAAAGCGUGUUUUCGGAUUGCGCCGCAUCAAAUGAACCCGCAAUCCUAGGCAUACUCUAUUCAACGCUUUAGGAUUUGGAUUUUGGCCGCAUAAAAUGCCCACCCGUAUAUAGGAAUGUAAUUUAUUAAAGUCGCAUCUAAUAGAGUCUAACACGUUGUAAUCUUUUGGGAGAGUCGUGAAAUUCCCUAAACGGCCCUUCCUGAUUUUCUAAAUAUGUUUUAAACCUUUAUUGAGGGCCCCGCAUUUUGUAGUUCUAUUUGGCGCGGCGCACCUCAAUUCCGUUUUAAAAGGUUUUACUCAACUAAAAAAGAACUACGGAUGUUCGUGAGUUGUUUAUUUUCCUAAAUUUGAGAUAGCUUAGAGCCUUUACUUUAUGUAAAGCGCACUCACUCUAAUGGUGUACCUUUUGCAUGAUGGGUCAGCGAGGAAAUGAGAACAACGACUUAAGCUAUUAGGUGUAGACGCUUUCCAGAAGUGGAAUCUUCUAGUUCUUCCUAUUUGAUCCGAAACCGAUCUUCAAUCAGAUAUAUAAUAUAAUCAAUCAAUUACAGUUGGUUAAAACAAAAUAUGAUACAUGAUUACAAGUCAAUCCAACACAUCUAAUUGCAUGAAUUUUAAAGAAAUCAGGUAUUAACUACUGUCCAAACCAAACGAAUUUCCAUGCCAUGUAAGACUUUACUAUUUCUAUACAACUCUUGCACGUUAUUACCUAGGGAAGAUAACUUCAAACUAUAUCAUUUUUAGAAUUAUAUAAUUAAAUUAGUACAUCAAAUUAUGAUUUUUUUUAAAAAUACCAUAAGUGGAUGCUUCAAUUACCCCAUGGAAACAGCUGUGCAUACUGAUUGUGCAUAUAGAAUAUUGGAACCAUCCAAAUACCAUUACUGUAAUUUUGUUGUUAUCAAAUAAAUCAUUCUAUAAUGAGCAUGAUUUCAUUAAUUCACAUGGAAUCCGGAAGUGUAAAUCCAAAUCAAAGCAUUUUGAGGCAAGAUCAGUUUAAAAUACAUGAAACACUUGAAUCUAAAUGGCUGGACUCAUACACGGAUUCAGAGAUAAUGUAAGUAAUUAAUUGUACAGAUCAAAGUGAGUACAAAUGGGUUUGGGUGUGUACCUAAUGCUCAGGAGGAAACGGAACAGAAAUGGUCCAGCUGAAGGCCGAAACUAGGGAUGAAUCACCAACAACGGAUAACCCAAAUAAGGCUUAGAAACAGAAGGUGAAGUUCAGUUAACAUUCAAGCAACAAACAGCAGCGGAAAUCCACAAACUCAACGGCAAACGAAAUCAGUCUCGAACCAACUUCAAAAAUAGAAUUGAAACGACACGGUUCUGUUUCAAGCCGGCCGGCGACCUCAAAUGAAGACUCGGAAAAUCAAGUGCCCACCUCGAUCUCUCUCCAUUUUUGCAACCAAUAACUGAAACUAGAGAAGAAGAAUAGAACUAAUUUUUUCUUCUUUGAUUUUUAGAACUUCAGGCGACACAAAAAUUGACUAAGAAAAUUGAAGAAGAAAAGUUUUCAAAAAACAACCAGAGAGUCCCUCAAUGAAAGAAGCCCCAGCGUUCUGUCCGUUCUCUUCUGAGAAGUCGCGGAUCAAUCCCCCCUUUUGUGUGUGUUCUUGUGUGUAUCGUGUGAGGUCAAAAUUUGGAGGAGGGGAAAAGCUCAGCUAGAGGUCCGUUGGGUCUCACCAUUUUUCUUCAGAGAAGGGGAGGAGAUCUAUCACCGUCAGCCGGGAUCAGAAUGGAGAAGAAAGAGAGGGGAUAUAUUUGAAGAAUCCCCAAAAAUGGGAAGGGGUCACCUUUUUGCAUGUUCCUAACAUGUGAGGGGUCUGAUGG
RNAcentral lists this long non-coding RNA (7460 nucleotides) under Nicotiana benthamiana. Its description in RNAcentral is "long non-coding RNA (NBEN_LNC029206)". Lineage: Eukaryota; Viridiplantae; Streptophyta; Magnoliopsida; Solanales; Solanaceae. The record is from RNAcentral.